This 489-nucleotide long non-coding RNA is filed under the name Scophthalmus maximus (turbot). RNAcentral describes it as "lncRNA (ENSSMAG00000023023.1)". Lineage: Eukaryota; Metazoa; Chordata; Actinopteri; Pleuronectiformes; Scophthalmidae. The record is from RNAcentral.
GACAUCACAAGUUACUUUCACUCAGCCUGUUCCAGUGUCUGACAAAAAUGAUCGGAAUUACAAUUACAAAGGAGAUCCAUGAUUUCUUGCAGCCUGUCAUGUCCUCAGCGUCCUUGACGCCCAAAUGAUAAUCAUGGAUAUGGAUCUCGUAACUUUCACUUGAGGCUUUGCCGGAAAAUGCUGAUGCAAGAAGGGCUCUGAAUCUCCAUCCCUUUUUCCCAUUGGCUCAUUGUCUCCUCCCACAGUGCAGUCACGAGGUCUAACAUUAUGAUGAUGUCUGGAGAAAACAGGCUUUCAUCUCGGCUGUAAUGCGUCUUGAGCUACAAUGAAAUGAUAUUCUGGGUUAUUUCUGUUGCACACAGAGUCAAUUUUGAGUAAUGUUUCAAAGCAUUGCUCUGUACGAGAGCAUCACCUACCAUUGUCUGUCGUAAACAUUGGGUUGUUUGCCUCACCAGCCUCUGCUGCGUCAUGACGCAGUUUUCCUUUGAG